AAAAUGCAUAAAGCAGUGAUGGCCAAACUUGACCCUCCAGCUGUUUGGGGACUACAACUCCCAUCAUCCCUAGCUAACAGGACUAGUGGUCAAGGAUGAUGGGAACUGUAGUCCCAAAACAGCUGGAGGGCCAGGUUUGGCCAUCACUGGCAUAGAGAUUCACUGGU
Molecule: microRNA precursor, 167 nt
Filed under: Podarcis lilfordi (Lilford's wall lizard)
Lineage: Eukaryota; Metazoa; Chordata; Lepidosauria; Squamata; Lacertidae
Source: RNAcentral